Molecule: long non-coding RNA, 751 nt
Filed under: Rattus norvegicus (Norway rat)
Lineage: Eukaryota; Metazoa; Chordata; Mammalia; Rodentia; Muridae
Description: long non-coding RNA NONRATT017075
Source: RNAcentral
AAGUUAAUGGAAAGAGAAGGUUAGUCACGGUGUAGUCCUGAUACAAGCGGCGUGUCCAGCUCGUCUCCGGCCCUCUGUGUAGUCCCUGGGCAGGGCGGCAGCCCCGCAAAAGCUGCUGCACCACAAAAGCCCUCAAGGCGGCGGCAGGCCUCUCCACACCGCCCCAGCCUUCGACGCCAAGGAGAGGAAAACUGUCAAUAUAUCGAAAGCACUGAAGUCCCAACAAAGGAGAGCUUGCAGCCUGAGCUGAGCCUACUUCCCACUGGGCCCAGUUCUUCCACAGGGCUGGCUGCUUAUCCCAUGAAACACAUCCUCAGACAGUAAGCCUUCAACUCUGAAGGAAAACGUGACUUUGUGAACAUCACAUGGGUUUUGUGAUAAACUGAGCCAUGUGUUGAGUCCAGAUGACGUGGAACUUACUGGAGCCAAUAACCGGAAGAUGGCAGACCUCGGCUGUUGACUUCAAAGGUACAGUCCCAGCAAAUCUCUGAAGGUGGAUUUGGCAGCAGAAUUUCCUCACAUUGCCAAGCAUCUAUAAGGCCCCAGAAGAAAAAUGUCCUUCCUGCAGUUUGGAGAAAUAGUUUUGGCUGUCAUCCUGACUGUAUUGGCCCUUGCUAUUCUGGCUAUUCUGAUAGCAAGAUGGACGCGGCGCAGACAUGAGGCGCGAGUCUCCAGAUACACUUCAGAACAGAGUGCUGGGCUUCUGGAUCAUGAGGAUGGUAUUUCCCAUGGGAGGCACAAAAGAGGAAGA